RNAcentral lists this long non-coding RNA (326 nucleotides) under Malus domestica (apple). Its description in RNAcentral is "long non-coding RNA (MDOM_LNC015642)". The record is from RNAcentral. Lineage: Eukaryota; Viridiplantae; Streptophyta; Magnoliopsida; Rosales; Rosaceae.
UGAAGCCAAGUCCAGCUUUGUUGUUGUCAAUUCUGUAACCAUGCUUCUUCAAUUUCUUUUGAGUCUCAGUAAGGUCAUGUUCUUUGUCGUUGACAAUGUUUGAAACCUUCUUUUCAGGAUUCGAAGAAGAAGCAAAGUCAUACCCAGCCUUCUACAUGAGUUUGUAGGCGUUUGGAUCAAAACCUUCUUCGAUCCUCUUGGUCGGAAGAAAGCUUGGUUCCACCCCUUUUGGCACAUCUUUUAUGAAGCCUUGUGGUAGUCAUGCAACCUUAGCGUCGCCUAGCUGUGUCAGAGGCAAAAUUACAUUCGUGUUGAGCAACUUUACG